Rhinopithecus roxellana (golden snub-nosed monkey) is the source of this 1640-nucleotide RNA transcript. It is a transcript of the gene named mitochondrial translational initiation factor 2, with no coding region annotated. The transcript is spliced from 9 exons. The record is from RefSeq and is a predicted model, not a curated record. NCBI's taxonomy places the organism in Eukaryota, Metazoa, Chordata, Mammalia, Primates, Cercopithecidae.
GCUGUUGCUGAGGCUAAGCCAGGAAUAUUGGAUGUACCAUGGUUGGCGGGUGAGAGUGGGAGCUGAGAAUUGGAAGUCUUUAGCACAGUCCGGAUCUCACAUUCUCUGAGAAGCACCCAGUUCUCCCAUGAGGGGCAAUCUGGCAGACAGUGUGGGUGUGUUUUGGGGCAGGUGGCCUGGAUAGCCAAGACCCAGUGCAUGGCCGAGUCCUCCAGACCAUCUACAAGAAGCUGACCGGCUCCAAAUUUGACUGUGGCCUUCACGGAGACCACUGGGAGGACCUGGGCUUUCAGGGCAUGGUGGCUUACACUUGUAAUCCCAGCACUUUGGGAGGCCGAGACAGCAUAGUAAACAGAGACCAUGAAAAGUAAAAGAAUCACCCACUCCAGCUUCUUCAUUUUAUGGUUGAGGGCAAUAAUCUGAUGGCUUUGGCAGAAGCAACAAUUGCUCUUGCAGAAAUGUUAGAAUUGAAAGCAGAUCCCAAUGGUCCAGUGGAAGGAAUAGUAAUAGAGUCUUUCACAGACAAAGGAAGAGGUCCUGUUACUACAGCUAUAAUUCAAAGAGGAACUUUAAGAAAAGGCUGUAUUCUGGUUGCUGGAAAUUGUUGGGCAAAAGUACGCUUAAUGUUUGAUGAAAAUGGAAAAACAAUCCAUGAGGCCCAUCCCAGCAUGCCAGUGGGAAUUACAGGCUGGAGAGACCUUCCUUCUGCAGGAGAAGAAAUUCUGGAAGUAGAAUCUGAGCCAAGGGCACGUGAAGUUGUUGACUGGAGGAAGUAUGAACAAGAACAGGAGAAAGGUAAAGAGGAUCUGAAAAUAAUAGAAGAAAAGCGAAAGGAACACCAGGAAGCAUAUCAGAAAGCCCGUGAGAAGUAUAGCAAUGUGCAGUGGAAGAAGAGGUCAUAUCUACAGUAUUUAGAAAGAAAAGAACAAACAUCCUUAAAGCCAAAAGAGAAAAUGGAAAGAGAUUCAAAUGUACUUCCUGUGAUUAUUAAAGGUGAUGUUGAUGGUUCUGUUGAGGCCAUUUUGAACAUUAUAGAUACCUAUGAUGCUUCACACGAGUGUGAACUAGAAUGAGUACAUUUUGGAGUGGGUGAUAUAAGUGCAAAUGAUGUUAACCUUGCUGAAACAUUUAAUGGUGUUAUAUAUGGGUUUAAUGUGAAUGUAGGCAAAGUUAUCCAACAGUCAGCUGCAAAAAAAGGUGUAAAAAUUAAACUUCACAAAAUAAUUUACCGUCUUGUUGAAGAUUUGCAAGAGGAACUGAGCAGCAGAUUACCCUGUGCUGUGGAAGAGCACCCAGUAGGUGAGGCAUCUAUACUAGCUACCUUCUCUAUAACAGAAGGGAAGAAAAAAGUUCCUGUGGCUGUCUGCAGAGUCCAAAAGGGACAGUUAGAAAAACAAAAAAAAAUUUAAAUUAACCUGUAAUGGACAUGUAAUUUGGAAGGGUUCGUUAACCUCACUGAAACACCAAAAAGAUGACAUUUCAAUUGUCAAAACGGGAAUGGAUUGUGGUCUCAGUUUAGAUGAAGAAAAUAUGGAAUUUAAAGUGGGAGAUAGAAUUGUUUGUUACGAAGAAAAACAAAUUCAAGCCAAGACUUUUUGGGAUCCAGGAUUUUAAAAUUACAUUAAAGAUGUAAAUAACUC